This is an RNA transcript of Malaya genurostris, 1312 nucleotides long. It is a transcript of the gene named apolipoprotein D-like, with no coding region annotated. The transcript is spliced from 5 exons. Lineage: Eukaryota; Metazoa; Arthropoda; Insecta; Diptera; Culicidae. The record is from RefSeq and is a predicted model, not a curated record.
UAACGUGCUUGAAGUGAUUCAAUUUAACUUUCGCGCUGAACUCGAUUGGAUCGUCGUCUCCGCUACGGACUAUUUCCUGCUCUCAGAAACGUCGAAUCCGCGUUGUUUCAAGAAGUGAAAUUAGAUUGUCUUCCUUCCCCCCUAGAAUAGCAGGAAAUUGGACAAGGAAGAGUGAAGUUUUUGACCCUGAAAUCUGCCGGCUCUUGAAUAACCAAACAGUUUGUAAACAUAUUCAACCCCACCAGUGUCUAGGGCGAUUAAGAGUGAGUUAAAAGGAUUCUGAUCGGAAUCCACGAUGACAAAGUUUCCUGCAGUGUUGGCGCUCGGCGCUAUUUUGUGCGGUUUGGCCGCCGUCUCGUACGGACACACCUACAAAACGGGCGAAUGUCCAACCGUGGAACCGAUGAGCGGGUUUAACAUGCAACAGUUCCUGGGUGUUUGGUACGUGAUUCAGAAAACGGGCACCGCAUCCACCUGCGUCGUCUACAAUAUCACCAAGGGUGAGGAUCCGGGCGAGUACAACAUCGAGCAACUGUCCCAGAAGGCCCCGCUGUCGAUUGCUCCCAUCAAGCACGAAUACAGCUACACCGGAAAGCUGACGGCAACCGAUAAGGACAUCCCGGCACGGAUGACUGUCCGGUUUCCGUUGAGUGUGGCAGGAUCUGCCAAAUUUAUUGUGUUUAUGACCGACUACAGCACGUUCGGAGGCAUAUUCUCUUGUCAGAAAAUUCCGUUUGGCCAUCGCCAAAGCGCUACCAUUCUGUCGAGGACCAAGGAUUUAGACAAGAUCUAUGUUGAUAAGAUUCGCAACCGACUUGCCAGCUUCUCGGUGGAUCCGUUCGAUUUGAGCAUCAUCGAUCAGACAGGAUGUCCGAAGGAGGGAGAAGCCGGUUGGAACAUUCACAUUGAUUCGGACACAUUCUCGGCGAAAAACAUUGCCAACGUAUUCCGCAAAGCCGGAGAGAAGAUCGGCGACGGAUUCGAGUAUGCUGUGAAUGCCGGCAAAAAGGUCAAUUUGUUUUAAUCAUCCCAUCCAGAAAUGCGUUAAACACUCGACGAGCGAGAGAGCAAAAACAAACGCAAAACUACAGCUUAUCCUUUGUGUUCAUAUUUACAACCAAUAUGCGACCUCCAGCGCAGAAGAGGAAACCAGCAGUGGCACUCGAACGGAACGUUUGACCAUGAAACCCAACGCCGAUUCCGAGUGGCUUCCUUAAAGCUGAUCUUCCAAGCUUAGUUUGAAAAGUAGUAUGGAUUAUUAUCUUAUCUUUUUCGAUCAUUAUGACAAUAAAAUGAAUACAAAUAGUUUUAA